Molecule: non-coding RNA, 114 nt
Organism: Acanthosepion pharaonis
Lineage: Eukaryota; Metazoa; Mollusca; Cephalopoda; Sepiida; Sepiidae
Source: the annotation of a GenBank genome assembly
UUACGGCCAUAUCACGUUGAAACAUCAGUUCCAGUACGAUCAUCAGAAUUAAGCAACGUCAAGCUUGGUCAGUAUCUAGAUGGGUGACGGCCUGGGAAUACCAAGUGCUGUAAG